CGGAAUAGCGCGUUUCACGGUGCCGUCCGGGUGCAGGUGCGCCCGGGCGCUUAAAAGGGAAGUUCGGUGAAAGUCCGACGCGGUCCCGCCACUGUGACGGGGAGCGCCCUGCGACAGCCACUGUCUCGCUUGAUUCGGGGAGAUGGGAAGGUGCAGGGGGCGAUGAACCCAAGCCAGGAGACCUGCCGUGAAGCGAUCACGCUC
This 204-nucleotide non-coding RNA is filed under the name Bacillus sp. (in: firmicutes). Lineage: Bacteria; Bacillati; Bacillota; Bacilli; Caryophanales; Bacillaceae. RNAcentral also lists the same sequence under 1 other name. The record is from RNAcentral.